Molecule: ribosomal RNA, 253 nt
Filed under: uncultured bacterium
Lineage: Bacteria
Description: partial 16S ribosomal RNA
Rfam family: Bacterial small subunit ribosomal RNA
Source: RNAcentral
UACGGAGGGGGCUAGCGUUGUUCGGAAUUACUGGGCGUAAAGCGCGCGCAGGCGGUUGUGUAAGACAGAUGUGAAAUCCCCGGGCUCAACCUGGGAACUGCAUUUGUGACUGCACAGCUGGAGUGCGGCAGAGGGGGAUGGAAUUCCGCGUGUAGCAGUGAAAUGCGUAGAGAUGUGGAGGAACACCGAUGGCGAAGGCAGCCUCCUGGGCCAACACUGACGCUCAUGCACGAAAGCGUGGGGAGCAAACAGG